GGUCAGGCUGAAGACCUUUACCCGAUUAGCUGAGAGGUGGUGCAUGGCCGUCGUCAGUUCGUACUGUGAAGCAUCCUGUUAAGUCAGGCAACGAGCGAGACCCACGUCCACAGUUGCCAGCAUACCCUCCGGGGUGAUGGGUACACUGUGGAGACCGCCGCUGCUAAAGCGGAGGAAGGAGUGGGCAACGGUAGGUCAGUAUGCCCCGAAUCUCCCGGGCUACACGCGGGCUACAAUGGUUGGUACAAUGGGCAUCUACCCCGAAAGGGGAAGGAAAUCUCUUAAAGCCAAUCGUAGUUCGGAUUGAGGGCUGCAACUCGCCCUCAUGAAGCUGGAAUCCGUAGUAAUCGCGUUUCAACAGAACGCGGUGAAUACGUCCCUGCUCCUU
RNAcentral lists this ribosomal RNA (388 nucleotides) under uncultured Methanosaeta sp. RNAcentral's name for it is "bacterial SSU rRNA". It matches the Rfam family "Archaeal small subunit ribosomal RNA", at positions 952 to 1338 of the family's 1478-position model. The record is from RNAcentral. Lineage: Archaea; Methanobacteriati; Methanobacteriota; Methanomicrobia; Methanotrichales; Methanotrichaceae.